Molecule: transfer RNA, 58 nt
Filed under: Alligator mississippiensis (American alligator)
Lineage: Eukaryota; Metazoa; Chordata; Crocodylia; Alligatoridae
Rfam family: tRNA
About the family: Transfer RNA (tRNA) molecules are approximately 80 nucleotides in length. Their secondary structure includes four short double-helical elements and three loops (D, anti-codon, and T loops). Further hydrogen bonds mediate the characteristic L-shaped molecular structure. tRNAs have two regions of fundamental functional importance: the anti-codon, which is responsible for specific mRNA codon recognition, and the 3' end, to which the tRNAs corresponding amino acid is attached (by aminoacyl-tRNA synthetases). tRNAs cope with the degeneracy of the genetic code in two manners: having more than one tRNA (with a specific anti-codon) for a particular amino acid; and 'wobble' base-pairing, i.e. permitting non-standard base-pairing at the 3rd anti-codon position.
Source: Rfam by way of RNAcentral
GCCUAAUAUGGAUAAGGCACUGGCCUGCAAAGCCAGGGAUUAUGGGUUCAUGCUCCAU